CGGGAGAUGAAGACGAAAGGCAUACUAUACUCUGUUUUCGAGCAAAGUAGCGGCGUUGAGAACUUUUCAAAGAUUUUUAGACGUUAAAUGGUUCAUCCAACACAGUUGCCAGUGCCACUAUGCGAGUCUCCCGUAGCCCAGCUGUUUUCACCUAAUCAGUUCAGCCCUAAAUCGGAGUACGUUUGGAGGAAGUUUUGGAA
This 200-nucleotide unclassified non-coding RNA is filed under the name Hevea brasiliensis (rubber tree). Lineage: Eukaryota; Viridiplantae; Streptophyta; Magnoliopsida; Malpighiales; Euphorbiaceae. The record is from RNAcentral.